Molecule: non-coding RNA, 98 nt
Filed under: Licmophora paradoxa
Lineage: Eukaryota; Bacillariophyta; Fragilariophyceae; Licmophorales; Licmophoraceae
Source: RNAcentral
UGUAAAAGAUGAAAGAAGAAAUAAAAAGAACUGUCUCUCUCUUUUCUUUCUCUCUUUCUAUCUUUCUCUCUCUCUCUCUCUCACACACACUUUUUCUC